UUUACUAACCAUAUACUCGAAGUAGCUAGCAACCCGGCCAUAUACUCGAAGUAGUCCCUAGCGAACCACUUACACCGUUUCGUUUCUCUUCAGCCUAAAAAUCAAUCCAUAACCCCUCUCUCAUUUCACUCCUCGCUCUCUGCGAUUCUCUAAGUCGCAAAACCUAACCCCUCUUUUCUUCGAUCUCUGAUUUUUGAAUUUCAAGAUGAGUGAGAUUCUCCACAUCCAAGGCGGCUAGUGUGGCAACCAUAUUGGAGCCAAGUCUUGGGAGGUGCUCUCUGUCGAGCACAACAUCGGCAGGUAUGAAGGCUACGCGCUUCAGCUUGAGAGGAUCAAUGUCUGCUACAACGAGGCCGGUGGCGCUAGGUACGUGCCCAUGGACAUCGUAAGAUCUAAACCGUACAUCCAGAUCUUCAAGCUGGAAAACUUCAUCUUCGACCUGUACACGCCGAGCACAACUGGGCUAAAGGUCACUACACUGAAGGGGCUGAGUUGAUCGACCACCUUUAGUUGAUCUAAAAUCUUUUUAUCUAUCCAAUUAAUUGCUUGAAAUGAAAUUGAUGCUCAAUUCUAAUCUUUAUAUCCGUCUGGGUUUAUGCUGAACAUCUUAAAGUGAAGAGAUUUAUGAUCUGCUGUCUAGCAAGGUGGUGGAGGGUUUGGGUUUGGAUGGCCUAAAGGAAUGACUGCAAUUCUAUGUUUUGGAGCUGCAAUAUAUGGUACCGGUGCAAACAAAUUGCAGUGACAGCAAGUGCUUAAAGAGCUAGAUCUGCUAGAAAACCUUUUGAUCCAAAACUAAAAGAAGUGAUUCAUUUGAUCCAUUAAUUGUAUUCCUUCAUGGAGGCUGGCAUACUGUUUCUUUGUCAAGCGUUUCAAAGUCCUUAGCAUUUCUCUCUAUAAUUGGGUCCAACUUGUUACUUGUAAAUUAUAGAGCGAGGUUCACUGGAAUUUGGUGAGGAAGCACUUCAAUCUCUUCCAGGGAAUAUUGGCUCCCAGCUUCGUGGAUACAGUCCCAGUCCAUGUUGGUCCAGUGUCCUACUUGUUGCUGUCCAAACCAACAAAGGGUGUUGAAAAGACAUUUUCGUUAAAGGAAAGUACAUCUUUGCUGGAUUGGUUGAUGGAAGGAACAUUUGAGCUAAUGAUCUCUCUGCUUCCCUAAGUACAUUGCAAGCUCUUGAAGGCAUUGUUGGCAAAGACCACCUUGUCGUCUUUACCUCCUGCUCUCUUCUUCACACUGCUGUUGAUCUUGUUAAUGAGACUAAGCUGGACAAUGAAAUCAAAUUGUGGCUCGCCUUUGCUGCCCAGAAAAUUGUUGAAGUUAAUGCUUUGGCAAAGGCAUUGGCUGGUCACAAGGAUGAGGUAUAGUAUCAUGCUCUUCUGCUGCAAUGUGCAACUUCCAAAACUUCACAACAAGCUUGGAGGUGAUGCAAAUUAGAAUAUAGUGCACAAGAUGGUUUGAAAUGGUGCAGCUAGGAUGCUUUCUUUGAUGGUUUUAUGGUCUAGAAACUUGAAUGUAUGGAUAAUUUACAAAUAUAUUGGAGCAUUGUUUCUAUGCAAA
Rosa rugosa (rugosa rose) is the source of this 1555-nucleotide long non-coding RNA. RefSeq lists it as uncharacterized. Lineage: Eukaryota; Viridiplantae; Streptophyta; Magnoliopsida; Rosales; Rosaceae. The transcript is spliced from 7 exons. The record is from RefSeq and is a predicted model, not a curated record.